GAACCAAGUCUCUGCUGUCUCAGACAGGCAGAGUAUCUGCCACUAGGUGGGACCUGUCACGCUGAAUUAUCUCUGUGGACAAGACCAUGUUAGGAAGAACAAAGAAAGAGGAGGGCUCAGAAGCCUGGUAUUCCGGGCUAGAUCCCGCCACAGAGCUCAUCAGUCAGCCGUACUGCACCUCGGCAGCUGCCUGGCUUCUGAGGGAAGAGUGGGUUGCAUGGGCAACACUCGGACCAUCUUCCCUUCAACCAGAACAAUUCUCUGAUUCAUUUGCUUUGCUUUCCUACGAUUUCCCAUCACAAGAUCCGAUGGCUGUCCGUGUUUCUGCCAGGUCUGAUUCUUGGAUUCUACCCAAUUGCUUCCAAAUUGUGCUCCCCUGGCUCCACUGACUCCAUCUUUGAAGACUGAACCUGUCUUCUUCAGGAAGGCCUCCUUACUCCCUCCCACAGACUGUUUGGAACUGGAGAAGAACUCAGCAAAGAGCAAAACAUGGAGCCAAACUACUACACUCAUCUCUCCGAUUCCGAGCCACGCUGAAUUCCCAAACUACUACACUCAUCUCUCCGAUUCCGAGCCAAGCUCAAUUCCCAAA
Alexandromys fortis (reed vole) is the source of this 592-nucleotide long non-coding RNA. RefSeq lists it as uncharacterized. Lineage: Eukaryota; Metazoa; Chordata; Mammalia; Rodentia; Cricetidae. The transcript is spliced from 3 exons. The record is from RefSeq and is a predicted model, not a curated record.